This 1649-nucleotide unclassified non-coding RNA is filed under the name Hevea brasiliensis (rubber tree). The record is from RNAcentral. Lineage: Eukaryota; Viridiplantae; Streptophyta; Magnoliopsida; Malpighiales; Euphorbiaceae.
UAAAUAUUUAAUUUUUCUUCUUUUCUUAUGGAAUGAAUUUGCAAGAAAAUAAUUUAAAGAAUUCUCACCUAAUCAUGAAUUUUAUUUAUGUUUGAAUAAAUUAUUUUUUGAAGGUAGUCUAAACAUGAUAAUUAUUAAAAAAAAUCAUCAAAAAGGGGUAAAAGGUAAUGAGUUAAAUAUUUAUUACUGAAUUAACUUUAUUUUUACCACUUGGGUUGUUUAUGGAAGUAAUUGGAGCUUAGAUAUAAUUAAAUGCAGAGUAAUUUUGGUGGCAAAAUAUAAAUAUUACCGUGUUAAAUGUUUUAUUUAACUAAAAAUGAAAUUUUCGAAUAUGGGAAAUUGGAAAUUACUCUGUUCUCAUCUCUUUUCUCAAAUUUUAAAUAAUCAUGUCCUUCUCAUUGUCAUUUUUCAUUAAUGAUUCCUUAAGUCGCUUGACACAGGUGGAAUAGUUGGAAUCACUUCGGUUGCCAAAUUGAUGAGAACAUGAUCAAAGAGACUGCUGAUGCCUUGGUUUCGACCGGUCUUCAUAAACUUGGUUAUACAUAUUUUAACAUUGAUGAUUGCUGGGCAGAAAUAGCUCGUGAUGAAGAGGGAAGGCUAGUGCCUAAGAACGCUACAUUUCCAUCUGGCAUUAAAGCGCUGGCAGACUAUGUUCACAGCAAAGGUCUUAAAUUAGGAAUUUACGCAGAUGCAGGGUAUUUUACAUGUAGCAAAACAAUGCCGGGUUCACUUGGCCAUGAGGAGCAGGAUGCUAUGACUUUUGCUUCGUGGGGAAUUGAUUAUUUGAAGUAUGAUAAUUGUAAUAAUGAUGGCACAAAGCCAACUGUUAGAUAUCCUGUCAUGACUCGUGCUCUGAUGAAGACAGGCCGUUCUAUAUUCUUCUCACUUUGUGAAUGGGGAGACUUACAUCCUGCUCUUUGGGGUGGUAAGGUGGGAAAUAGCUGGAGAACAACCAAUGACAUUUCUGAUAAUUGGGAAAGUAUGGUCUCCAGGGCAGACAUGAAUGAAGUUUUUGCUGACUAUGCAAGGCCGGGUGGUUGGAAUGAUCCUGACAUGCUUGAGGUGGGAAAUGGAGGGAUGACAAAAGAUGAAUACAUAGUCCACUUCAGUAUAUGGGCCAUGUCCAAGGCUCCCCUUCUUCUUGGUUGUGAUGUGAGGAAUAUAACAAAAGAGACUAUGGAAAUUGUUACCAAUAAGGAGGUUAUUGCCGUUAACCAAGAUCCACUUGGCGUUCAAGCAAAGAAGGUUAGGAUGGAAGGUGAUGUUGAGAUUUGGGCUGGGCCCCUCACAGGCUACAGAGUAGUUGCUUUACUACUCAACCGAGGCCCUUGGCGCAGUUCGAUUACUGCCAAUUGGGAUGACAUUGGAAUCCCCCCUAAAAGUUCUGUUCAAGCAAGAGAUGUGUGGGAGCACAAGACACUGAAGGCACAAUUUGUGGGGAACAUAACAGCGACUGUGGAAUCCCAUGCAUGCAAGAUGUAUAUUUUGAAACCUAUUUCAUAGGUUGAUUAUAUCAAUUACCAUUUGCAUUGGAAUGUCUAAGAUGGAACGAGUGUAUGUGUUAACAUGUUUUAUUGGAAAUUUUGAACUAUUCUAUCAAAAUCCAAAUAAUAAUUAUUUAAUUAGCUGUCUUGAAAAGGAUAUUAGUC